Molecule: long non-coding RNA, 6664 nt
Filed under: Brassica napus (rape)
Lineage: Eukaryota; Viridiplantae; Streptophyta; Magnoliopsida; Brassicales; Brassicaceae
Description: long non-coding RNA (BNAP_LNC000891)
Source: RNAcentral
ACCAUGCGUAAACCGUCAUGCGGCUUACAGGCUGUUGGUUAAGAAAUCGUAAGUUGGGCCUCGAGUCAUGUCUUAGGUCCCUUUGGGCCAUCUUCUGUCUCGAAGCGUUUAUUACGGCUUCUUUCGAUAAAGAACGAACUUUUUGCGGUUUUUACCGCGAAGUUUGAUCGAUGACUUAGAAUGGCGGGAAACAUGAAAUGGGUUCGCUACGGUCUUCGAGAGAUAGCAUCAAAGGAUAGACGAAUUUGUUAUAAAUUAACUUCGAGGUUUUCGGUCAACAAAUCUUAUACAUAAGAUAUAUCAAAAUGACUUUGCAAGGAUAAUAAAACUACCGCUGGCUAAGGCUGUUCCUUUCCGUCCUAGAGUAAGGUCUCCUGCCUAUUGGUUAUCUGCAUCACAAAUGAGUCAUGAUUAACUAGUUUACUCAGUGAGUCUAAUCCCACACCCAAACACAUAUCAAUAGUAUCCCGAGCAAGCAUAAUAGAAAAUCUCCCAAGGAAUGCACUCGAAGGUUGGUGAAAAGGAUAAGCUUUGACCUAAAGAUGGAUUAAAGGAAAGGUGGAUCGAUGGUUCUUCAGUAUAAGGCUGCGGAAGGCCAGAUACUUGCUGGGUUGGUCUUAGUCCGUGAGAGGCAGCCCCACUAGUGAACAAGACCGUGCUUACGGAAAUCACUCUCGUAGCAUUACGAUGUUCCAAAGAACAAAGGAUUCAACAAAUUUAAAAAAUAGAUUUUUAUUAAAAGGGUUGAAUGAAUAAAAACAAUACAAAGCAAACCUUUAUAUAAUAGGCAAUUUGUAAAAUUAAAUAAUCUAGUCAAUCCUUGAAACUAUAAAGCUCUUAAAACUAUGAAGACUUGACUAGGAAUAUUGACUUGACCAAAGACCAAGACUGUUGACUGAAUUUUGGAAAUUGUGUUCGCAGAAUUCCUUGGCUGGUCGCAUCCUUUUGCAUGAUCGACGGUCUCUGAAUUGCCGUCAGAUUGAUAUAUUAUACGACAUUGGCUUGUAUUUUCUUGGUGAGCCUUUCUUUUUUUUGGACUUCUCUUGAUUUGCUUGUUCAUGAACAAGGUCACAUAAAAGCGACACCAUUUGAAUGCAGUGGAAUUAUAUUCCAUAAUUAAUAUAAUUAUAAGGCCUCUCAAUCCAUCCAUGUGAAUCUAUCUUAAACAUCACCUCCACGAUACCCGCCAAUCACUCAUACUCUUAAUAUAUAUAUAUGCUAAACCCGGAAAACCACCAAGGCUAACCGAACCUAACGGGGAAUAAAUAUAACCAUCAUCUCCAUCAGAUAUUCCAAGAUAGAACAUCCAACGCUGCAUGCAGUUACACGGCCUCCAGGGUGCGACCCCAUCAUCGUGUCUUCAUGACCUUGAUCCAUAUCACAUGAUCAAUUCACGGAAAUGCGGGACUUUCGGGAGAGUGAGUAUACAAUAAGACUUCACAUGAUUCACGCUUAUUAAUAGAAUACUUAUAGAUUAGUACUUGAGAACAAGUACUAAGGCUCGGGAUAACCUCAAAGAAUUAUUCUUAUUAAUUCUUAAGUAUUUUAACUUGAUAAAUACUUCAUAUAUAAAUAUAGAUCAAGGGAUAAUACUUAAUCAAUCAACCAUAAUUACUCCUUAAAUAAUCCAUGAUUAAUUCUUAAUUAAUCAAUGAUUAUCCCUUAAUUAAUUGAUUAUUAAUUCUUAAUUAAUCAACCAUAUUCAAUAUGCAAUCAUGCAUACUCAUUCAUAAUUCAUUCAUCAUCUAUCUAGACUCACCUUUAAAUCCAUGAGAUUGGCUAAGCAAUACUAUACUCGAGCUCAAGCUAAUCACACUCGUCUUCUGGAAUAUUCUCGAUUUAAAAUCACCACAAGGAUCCGGCUGAUCGGAACACUAUCCUUGACCAUCUGUACCAAUAACAGAACGGUAGGAACAAAGGUUAAUCAGUCCGGUUCAACCCCACAGUUCAAGAUUCAGGACAGCUACUAAGGCAAGUUCAAGGCAGCUUCAGUUCGGUUCAAACAUAAAUCGUUUCAGCUAAGUUGUUUAGAUGGUAGGGGACCGUGAACUGAACUAAUAUAAAUCAACAAAAGGGAUUAAGAAAUUAAUCCAGAGAGGAAGAACAACAACUCAGACAGCAAGUUACAAUCUAAAUUGAUCUGGAUCAAAAGGCAAAACAGUUUACCGGUUCAAAUCAAACACUGUCUGAACUCAAUUGAUACUCCACUUUAAAAUGAAGCCACGCCAAACCUGAUGUACCACAUCAAGAAAAUGUCGGACUCAAUCAGAACAAAACUGAACCGCAGUCAAUCCAACAGAAAUGCUCACAUAAAACUGAUCCACACAACAACUUACAUCUUUACCGAUUAAAAUCAAAGGCUGAAGAACAUGGGUGAUUCUCAACUUCAGGACACCAAAUCUCCAACUCUUUACCACAUAAAUACUCACUGAUUAAAUUCACAAGAUGGUUGGAAAGGGUUGUCCAUGCUCACUCCUCUUCUCUGAAUUUGUUUCUGAAUUUUUCAUGAAUUUUUCUUUGAAUUUUUCUGUCACUUUUCUCUCUUCUCUCUCUCUGAUUUUUCUGUGUUUCUCACAGGUUUAUGCACGACCAAACUGGUGGAGAAAGAGUUAAAUAUGUUAGGAAGUUACUUAAGGUGAGGGUUUCACAAAACACAAGGCAAGGCUGAGUGGAGUCAGGUGGAGACAUGCUUCAGCACAUCAAGAAGCACAAGCAGCUGAACUUUUCCUUCCCAUGAAGAAAGCUACAAGCAGCUGAAGCAAGUAGCUUGUGACCAGCAUGUGACUUCUAAUGAGCAAGCAGGCAAGCAAGUAGGUGCAGGUCAUGUGACCUAAUUACUGAGGAAGCAAGUAGGCUAGAAGGUGCAAAGCAUGUGACUGUUCAGAAAUAACUUUCAGAGUUUUGUCGAUAUUUUUCGGACUGUUUCGACUACAUAUUUUUCAUCAUUCGAAUCUCGUCCUGCUCUGAAUAAACUCGCCCAAUAUGAAUAAAAAUCGACAAUAAUAAUUAACACUCGACCAGAACCAUCAAAAGAUAGUUUUUCGACCAAAAGACAGCCUCGUCGAGAUUAAUUCACCGUGUCGAUUUUUAUUUAAAUUCUGAUCGAUCAAUCUUCAAACUGAUCUUAAAGAAUUUUCUCGACCAGAAUUAUAUAUGCUCGUGAGGGUUAUUACAUUCUUCCCCCCUCAAAAGAAUUCGUCCCCGAAUUCUGAAAACGUAGUUGUACACUCUUUACUGAACAGUCACUGAAUGGAGUUCUGGAUAUUAGCUCUUACAUUAUCUUAAUCUUCCUAUAUCAAAACAACUCAUGGUCGAUCCCUUGAUUCCCCCAACCGAUCCUUUCUUUUCUGAGCAGCCACUUUCAAGAUAACCAAAUUCUUUACUCUGCACAACUCUUGUCAACUGCGUUCUGCAUACUUUUUCUAACAAUCUUCUAUCUGUAGACUAUCACUUCUCAACCUUUUUUAUCUGACUUUCCCCCAUAACAGCAACAUGAAAUUUGGAACAUGAGGUGAUGUGCCAUACGUGAAUGUAACAUCUCCAGUCUGGUCAAUGUUAACUUGAUUAACCGUGCAACAAUCAAACAAGAACAUGCACGAUCAAUCACACCAACAUGAUUCGGACCAGGGGUGCUACUCUCAAAUAAACACACUCACCCAUUCCAAGAAUGAUUUUACUUACAGUAUUCUUUACACUUCUGAUCUAUCUGAGAUGCUCUUCAUAAUCUUCUGACUACUACUAGAACUCGGCAAGAACCACUUGGUGAGAUCCCUAGGCUAUUGCAGCGAAUCCAGGUUCAACAAGAAUAUUGAACAGCUUACUUCUAGAUAGCAACAACUCUUCCAAUUCCUUAAGCAUAACUUCAAAUUCUCUAGCUAUCUGAUUGUUCACUAUAUUCUGAUCCUUGUCAUCUUCUGUUUUCCUAAUGAUCAAGAUAAUGGAAUACACAUCUUCACCUUUUCCCAAAAGGUCUUCAACUCACAAGACUGAUACUAACGAUGCUCCAACAUUUGGUAGAAUACCAUUGUAGGCCAUUGGCAACUAGUCUUCUUCCAAAAACUUCCUUCCUCAACAACAUCCUAAUUGAGCUCGAUAACUAGAUAGCCAAUCUCACUCUAGAUAGAAACAAACCGCUCUAAUGGAAGUACUUAGGAAUGGGGAUGGGAUACGGAGGCAUACCAUAACUCUAAAUGGCAGCCAGUACUUCCACGAAUAAGAACAGUGUACCUGAAUUCACUAAAGUGAAUCCUUCCUAAAACAAUGACACUACCCAAGAACUACAUCUAUGUGUUGUUCCCGCAUCACACACAAUAUGGACGGAAAAUUCAGUCCAUAGGCAAGGUCUCAUACGACACCUUGAUCACUCCUUCACUUAUUUAUUUAAUCAUUCAUAAAUUUUUAAAAUGCACACAACACGCAAUAGGAUAAGAAGCAAACCUGUGAUUGGACCUUUUUAGAAGUUUUGACGGUCCAGGCAACUAUAAAGUGUAGGCUCUACCCAAAUAGCCAAACACUUAGUUAGUGACUAAUGGUAAGGGAAGCGAACAAGUUUAACAAGCGGUACCCUAGGUUUAGGUAAAAAGAUCGGGUAACUUUAUGGGCAAGGGUAAAAUAAUCAUCCUUACUCUUCACAAGGGAAUCACUGAAGCACAUUGAUGCAAAUAAUCAAGAAUUUCUCGCACUUGGACGAUCCCGACUAUGCUGUCCUGGCAUGUCACCACCAUAACAACUCAGCCUCCUCGAUCUUGAUCUGAUGAAACGUACACCCAAAAUCAUCCCAGCGACUUAAUCCACUGAUUUAAAAUAAUCUUCGAUCUUCACUGGUUGGGAAUUAAACGGUCUGCAGAAUUUGGUGAACUUCUUCAGCAAUAACUUCUUUAGUAUUCGCGUCAUACUCUAACAUCUCCUCGAAGCUCUGAGACUCCAUGGUCUUUUAUCUACUACAAAAUUCUUGGCUAAAUUCCCAAAUAUUUUCCAUCUGAUCUUUGGCUUAUUCUCCAAACCAUAAUCGAUGAAUGAAAUUCACUCGACCAUACAUCUUGAUGCUGAAAUUGUUGUAUAUGAUUAACUCAACCUGAACCUCCUGGCGGAAACAUCCUACUGUACCAACUCCGUAAACUGAAUCUUCAAUCGGUCUCAUAUCUUGUGUAGAAAAUUCUACUUCAUGAACCCUUGAGAUCUGUCCAACUCGAUCUCACCUCUCUUAAGUAAUUCUUAACUCUCGACCAACAACUCAUUGCGUUCAUCUCCAAAUAGCUUGCUACCAAAUCCUUCAUGUAAUUCUCUGAACAUUGGCCACAUCAAUGUUUUGCUCUGGGUGUUAAUUUCAUCCCAAAUCUGCCUCAAGCCAAAGUAUACCUCAAACGGUUUAGUGUUUCUUCAGUAUCUUAAGGUCCCACUACUUCUUUCCAUCAUAAGCUUUAAGAUGUCUUGUUGCCAACAGAAAGGUGCAUGUGUGCCCAUCGUCUUGUAGUACAGUUGAACCAUCUCUUCCUCCAACGCUAAGCUCCAAACAAAUGUUGAACAAUUCAGGCUUGUACGGCUUUGUUUCUUGUAAGUCUCAGCAUAAGCUGGAGACUUGAGAAGCUGGAAGAAUAAUUGCAUCUAGGUGAUCAUGUGCAAUCGCAUCGCUCUGAAUCGGACCACAAACAACGUCCACCUUGACAUCGAUAACACACAAGUCCAGAGAUGUAUUCGAUGUAUCAAUUUUGUCCCAUAUCUCUCUCUAAGGAAUUGGCAUCCCCCACUAGAAUUCAAAAGAACGACAGGAAGGCAUGACGUUACUGACUCUUAACAUGGCGGUAGUGAACCCCACCAUGAGGGUAGCAAACUCGAGCCUGAUGAUACUAACAUCGGUAAGUACGGUCCACCCGUUCAAGCUUGUCUCGGUGCUUAUGCUCUGAAAGAUCACUGUUAGGUAACUACCCACGACUAUCUAUCCUUAUAUGAAGGAACAAGCCAGCAAAUCCUAGUUAUCCUUGCGACUCAUUUUGACUCGAAAAACAUUUGAAAGAAGUCCCAUUCUAGCAUCGUAUAACCAUGCUCUAAUACCACCUUUGUGACACCCCCGAUCGUAGAUGAUCGGAAAUGACACGGUCAAUGUUCCUCGAUUGUCGAUCUGAGGUUCUCAGAAUACUUCCGAUCGCCUUAGACCAACAACCAAAGAACACCAACGCUCCUAUCAGAUAUAACUCUAGGCUUUUCAACCCGACAAAGCAAUACCCGAUAGUUAGUUCGUCCGGACAAGGACUAAUAUCAUAUGGAACCCGUACUUAAAAAAACAUUCUUUAUAUAUCAAUCAAAAGCAUCUUACAAAAUUUGUUAUAAAUUAACCUCGAGGUUUUCGGUCAACAAAUCUUAUAUAUAAGAUAUAUCAAAAUGACUUUGCAAGGAUAAUAAAACUACCGCUGGCUAAUGCUAUUCCUUCCCGUCCUAGAGUAAGGUCUCCCGCCGAUUGGUUACCUGCAUCACAAAUGAGUCAUGAGUAACUAGUUUACUCAGUGAGUCUAAUCCCACACCCAAACACAUAUCAAUAGUAUCCCGAGCAAGCGGCGCCAUUUGAAUGCAGUGGAAUUCUAUUCCAUAAUUAAUAUAAUUAUAAGGCCUCUCAAUCCGUCCAUGUGAAUCUAUCUUAAACAUCACCUCCACGAUACCCGCCAAUCAC